RNAcentral lists this ribosomal RNA (940 nucleotides) under uncultured archaeon. RNAcentral describes it as "bacterial SSU rRNA". It matches the Rfam family "Archaeal small subunit ribosomal RNA", at positions 1 to 922 of the family's 1478-position model. The record is from RNAcentral.
UUCCGGUUGAUCCUGCCGGACCCCACUGCUAUCGAGGUGGGACUAAGCCAUGCUAGUUGAGCGCACAGAACUAUGUCUGUGAGCGGCACACUGCUCAGUAACACGUAGCUAACCUACCCUUAGGACGUGGACAACCCCGAGAAAUUGGGGCUAAUCCGCGAUAGAUGUAAUGUCCUGGAAUGGUAUUACGUCCAAAGGUAUCCCAUACAUGUUUGGUAUACGCCUAAGGAUGGGGCUGCGGCCGAUCAGGCUGUUGGUGAGGUAAUGGCUCACCAAACCUUUGACCGGUACGGGCCAUGAGAGUGGUAGCCCGGAGAUGGACACUGAGACAAGGGUCCAGGCCCUACGGGGCGCAGCAGGCGCGAAACCUCCUCAAUGCACUUACGUGCGAAGGGGCUACCUCGAGUGCCACCAGAUGAAGGUGGCUUUUCCUAGGUCUAAAAAGCCUUGGGAAUAAGAGGGGGGCAAGACUGGUGUCAGCCGCCGCGGUAACACCAGCCCCUCGAGUGGUGGGGAUGAUUAUUGGGCCUAAAGCGUCCGUAGCCUGCCGUAUAAGUUUCCCGUUAAAUCCAGCGUCUCAAGCGUUGGACCGCGGGAAAUACUGUACGGCUAGAGAGUGGGAGAGGUCAGCGGUAUUCUGGGGGUAGGGGCGAAAUCCUUUGAUCCCCGGAGGACCACCAGUGGCGAAGGCUGCUGACUAGAACACGUCUGACGGUCAGGGACGAAAGCUGGGGUAGCGAACCGGAUUAGAUACCCGGGUAGUCCCAGCCGUAAACGAUGCAUGCUAGGUGUUGGGUUGGCCACGAGCCACCCCAGUGCCGCAGGGAAGCCGUUAAGCAUGCCGCCUGGGAAGUACGAUCGCAAGGUUGAAACUUAAAGGAAUUGGCGGGGGAGCACCACCAGGCGUGAAGCCUGCGGUUUAAUUGGAGUCAACGCCGGG